RNAcentral lists this ribosomal RNA (437 nucleotides) under uncultured bacterium. Its description in RNAcentral is "bacterial SSU rRNA". It matches the Rfam family "Bacterial small subunit ribosomal RNA", at positions 352 to 782 of the family's 1533-position model. The record is from RNAcentral.
CAGUUUCGAAUCAUUCACAAUGGGCGAAAGCCUGAUGGUGCGACGCCGCGUGAGGGAUGAAGGCCUUCGGGUUGUAAACCUCUGUCACCGGGGAAGAAACGCUUCAAGUUAACAGCUUGAAGCCUGACUUAACCCGGAGAGGAAGCAGUGGCUAACUCUGUGCCAGCAGCCGCGGUAAUACAGAGACUGCGAGCGUUAUUCGGAUUCACUGGGCGUAAAGGGUGCGCAGGCGGCCAAGUGUGUUAGACGUGAAAGCCCGGAGCUCAACUCCGGAAUUGCGCCUAAAACUACAUGGCUAGAGCAUUGGAGAGGGUAGCGGAAUUCACGGUGUAGCAGUGAAAUGCGUAGAUAUCGUGAGGAACACCAGAGGCGAAGGCGGCUACCUGGACAAUUGCUGACGCUCAGGCACGAAAGCGUGGGGAGCAAAAGGGAUUAGA